CAUAUUAUAUUUAAAUACAGAUACAAUGACCGUGCGACUUUAAUAUAAAUCUAACAUUCAAAGUUAGAAUAAAUAAAACAUUAACAAUAUACAAACUUUUAAACUGUCAGGUCAAAACGUUUCCAUUAAAAACAAAAUAACACGUCAACAACAAAUCUAUGGAUCACACCGAGCAUCUAAUGACAGCGACGUCUGAGCCAGCGGAUCAUUUCAUCAGGACAGGCCGAGGUCACGCUGCUCUGUGCCGGGCACAGUGAGCGCCGAGCGUCCGCAGAGGCGGAGCUUAUCACCUCCGACAAACGUCGCUGCCAAACUAUAAAUACGUCAUAUCUUCAUACACAAACCACAUGUUUGAUUUCUAAAUGACUCAUUUCUCGCCUCAAAUGAUGUUAAAACUUUGUUCCGGGACACAGAAAAAUAUUUAUUUCAGAUUUAUAUUUCUAUUACUUGCUGCUAUGCUCCGCCCAAAUGAAUUCUGGGAUACAUGGCCAUCGCAAGUACACUUAAGUUUUUUUUACUUGGUAAAAAUGGGCGGAGCGAGGACACUUCUGGGUUUGAGAACCGUCCUCGCUGUUCGCUUACUUGAGAAUUGGAACAGCACUUGGACUGAGGCUGAUGACGUUUUCACAAGUACGGGAGUACGCAAGUACGCACAAGUACGCACAAGUAUGGAUAUUGAGAAACGGCCAGACUCUCUAGCAGUGAUUGGAUACUUACUAGUUUGAGCCACGGCAGUGCUCUGCAGAUCAGCAGAGCCACACCCGGGAUUGUUAACGGUUAAAAACCUUUUUUAACCCACAAUGGCCGAAGGAGAGCUACGCGUUGAUUUGGUUGCUGAUAUACUGGCAAGGCCAUUUUCAAGAAGAACUUUUCAAGAGAAGCUAGAUCUCGUGAGAGGAGGACGGCCGACCCCUGAGCUAGCUAACCUGUCCCAGCCGGGGAAGGGUUCAUUGUCCUGGUAACUGUCAGGUGUGCUGCAGUUCCACCCAAUCUCCGUGGGAGACUGCCACAUAAAGGCGGGCGUAAAGCACCUGUCAGCCCCUUGCUUGCUGGAGGCUGGGUCGCGUCACUCCUGUGCUUCCUCCAUUUCCGCGUCCGGGUGGUUACAGGUGGGCUGCCGGCUGCACUUCUCACGUAUGUCGCCCAUCCAGUGCUAAUGUUAUUGUUUUAUAAAGGUCCACCUGGGUGUUGCUGCUGGCUGCGCGCUGUGUGCCGCGCUGUGUGCCGCUCUGUGUGCCGCUCACUGUCCGCUGCUGGUCGCUCUCGGGGAGCGUGAUUCCUCCGUCCCACGCUGUGUUGGCCGGGAUCGCCUGACCGGACGACUGACCGUAACGGCGCAGCGCCGACUAAUCCGCUCCUAGAACCGCUGCUGCUUUGCUUCCGCUUUGUCUCUUCACUUCUUUGCCUCAGUUAAAGAGAUCAUUUGGACUGAUUGCUGUGCCUCAUUGGAACGGUGUGUUUGCGGAACUGAUCGCCUCGCUUGCGUCGGCAUUCGCCGCGCCGCCAGGUUGCUUGGUAACGCUGUCUCCGAUUGUUGGCACAGCCUCAUCUUAAACCAGUGUGUGUGUGUGUGUGUGUGUGUGUGUGUGUACUUGCAUGAGAGGACAGUGUGGGAAUAUACAUUUGAUUUUGUUCCUUUCUGGUAAUUUCUUUGAUUUCGUUUGUAAUUUGUUUUGCUGUAACCCAUAAUUACAAUUAUUCUGUUAGUUUUGGGUUAUUAUGGGUUGCUUUCCAGUUGCUUUUAUAUAUAAUUUUGUUUAUUUGUCAUUGGGUUUAAUUAUUAUAAUUCCUGUACAAUUAAUUCUUUGAUUUCUCUUUUGUUAUUAGUUAUUGUUUUGUUUCAUUAUUUGUUAUUUUCUAAUUGGUUGCUUUCUGGUCGCCCCCAUUCAGGUGCUGAGCCUACGGUGGUGGAUUGGUGUCCUGGUCACGGUGUCCCCUUUUUGUUGUGUUAGCACUUUGUAGCUUCUUUGUUUUGUUUACUUUUAUUUGCUUCACGUGUGGUGUUCCUGGGAUCCCCUUUUCUUUUGGAUACGGUUUAUCGCUGUAGGUCUCAGCACUGAUUGGUUCCCCUUAUAUGUCCCCUUACCUUGAAAAACUGCAGGCCCUGGGUGUAAGGGCAAUGCUCUUGACAGCAAACACCUGGGUGUCCGAGGUGUUACUGCCCCGUUGCCACUUGUCGGCGAACGCUACUACAUGUGUGGACAGAAUGCGGG
Molecule: long non-coding RNA, 2213 nt
Organism: Solea solea (common sole)
Lineage: Eukaryota; Metazoa; Chordata; Actinopteri; Pleuronectiformes; Soleidae
Exons: 3
Source: RefSeq, a predicted model, not a curated record